CACGUAGGGGCCGAGCGUUGUCCGGAGUUACUGGGCGUAAAGGGCGCGCAGGCGGUCCGCCACAUCUUUGGUGAAAGCCCCGGGCUCAACCCGGGAGGGUCCAGGGAGAUGGGCGGACUGGAGGCAGGGCGAGGGCGGUGGAAUUCCGGGUGUAGUGGUGAAAUGCGUAGAGAUCCGGAGGAACACCAGUGGCGAAGGCGGCCGCCUGGACCUGACCUGACGCUGAGGCGCGAAGGCGUGGGGAGCGAACGGG
Molecule: ribosomal RNA, 253 nt
Filed under: uncultured bacterium
Lineage: Bacteria
Description: partial 16S ribosomal RNA
Rfam family: Bacterial small subunit ribosomal RNA
Source: RNAcentral